ACGACCUUACUUGAACAAUUUCUGUUCUAUAGGCUCUAAGGAGAAAGAAAUAAAAUCUGGUGGAUGAAUCAUUGGCAUGAGAACGGAGCAGGAA
This 94-nucleotide small nucleolar RNA is filed under the name Nicotiana attenuata. Its description in RNAcentral is "snoRNA Plant_U3". The record is from RNAcentral. Lineage: Eukaryota; Viridiplantae; Streptophyta; Magnoliopsida; Solanales; Solanaceae.